RNAcentral lists this ribosomal RNA (547 nucleotides) under uncultured bacterium. RNAcentral's name for it is "bacterial SSU rRNA". It matches the Rfam family "Bacterial small subunit ribosomal RNA", at positions 173 to 714 of the family's 1533-position model. The record is from RNAcentral.
AUAAUAUUUGUCUUCGCAUGAAGAAAUAAAGAAAGACAGUUCUGCUGUACCUUAUAAUUGCGCCCCCUAUGUAUUAUUUAGUUGGUGAGGUACGGCUUACCCAAGCUUCGAUACAUAACCGACCUGAGAGGGUGAUCGGCCACACUGGGACUGAGCCCCGGCCCCAACUCCUAGGGGAGGCUACAGAAUGUAACCUUCGGCAAUGGACGAAAGUCUGACGGGGCCACGUCGCGCGAGAAAAUAUGGUUUUCGUAUCACUAAACUCUGUUGUAAGGGAAUAACAUGUACGUGAAAAACUGUACGUACCUUGACGGAACCUUACAAGAACGCUACAGUUAACUUCAUGCCACCCGGCGAGAUAAUACGUAGGUGGCAUGCGUUAUCUGUAGGUAUUGGGCGUAAAGCGCGCGCAUUCUUUCUCUUAUUCUGAUGUCCAGCCCCCGCCUCAACCGGUUAGGGUCAUUGGAAACUGAGAGACUUGAUGAAAAAAUGAUAGUGUAAUUCCAUGUGAAGCGGUGUAAGCGACAGAAUUGGAGGAAUACCAGUG